Molecule: ribosomal RNA, 288 nt
Filed under: Triticum aestivum (bread wheat)
Lineage: Eukaryota; Viridiplantae; Streptophyta; Magnoliopsida; Poales; Poaceae
Description: partial small subunit ribosomal RNA
Source: RNAcentral
UCAGAAUCUAAAGAAACUAAUUCUGUAUGGAGAAACAAAAAAUCUCUCAUUUCCGACGCGAAUAGAUUUUUUUAUUUCAAAAUAAAGGUUCUUGUCUUGUGGGGAACGAUGCACCGCAAGCAAUCGACCCGAAUCAUUCAAUACGACAGUAUGAACACGAUACCAAGGCAAACCCAUGGAAAUACCCCUUUAGCAAAGAAAAAUAGACACGAUGUCGCUUUAUUUUAUCGCAUUGAAAAAGACUAUCCAUAUCCUAUGUACCUAACCCUUCUAGGGGAUUCUGUGUGA